Molecule: ribosomal RNA, 253 nt
Filed under: uncultured bacterium
Lineage: Bacteria
Description: partial 16S ribosomal RNA
Rfam family: Bacterial small subunit ribosomal RNA
Source: RNAcentral
GACGGAGGGUGCAAACGUUGUUCGGAAUUACUGGGCGUAAAGCGCGUGUAGGCUGCCCCGCAAGUCGGAUGUGAAAGCCCUGGGCUCAACCUAGGAAGUGCAUUCGAAACUGCGGGGCUGGAGUCCUGGAGAGGAAGGCGGAAUUCUCGGUGUAGAGGUGAAAUUCGUAGAUAUCGAGAGGAACACCGGUGGCGAAGGCGGCCUUCUGGACAGUGACUGACGCUGAGACGCGAAAGCGUGGGGAGCAAACAGG